Molecule: ribosomal RNA, 463 nt
Filed under: uncultured bacterium
Lineage: Bacteria
Description: partial 16S ribosomal RNA
Rfam family: Bacterial small subunit ribosomal RNA
Source: RNAcentral
CUACGGGCGGCAGCAGCCGAGAAUCUUUCACAAUGGGGGCAACCCUGAUGGAGCGACGCCGCGUGGAGGAUAAGGUCUUCGGAUUGUAAACUCCUGUCAUGUGUGAACAAGGUUGUCGUGUGAAUAGCAUGGCAAAUUGAUGGUAACACAAGAGGAAGAGACGGCUAACUCUGUGCCAGCAGCCGCGGUAAUACAGAGGUCUCAAGCGUUGUUCGGAAUCACUGGGCGUAAAGGGUGCGUAGGUGGCGUGGUAAGUCAGAUGUGAAAGCCCGGGGCUCAACCUCGGAAUUGCAUCCGAUACUGCCGUGCUAGAGUACUGAAGAGGUGACUAGAAUUCUCGGUGUAGCAGUGAAAUGCGUAGAUAUCGAGAGGAAUACCAACGGCGAAGGCAGGUCACUGGGCAGUUACUGACACUGAGGCACGAAGGCCAGGGGAGCAAACGGGAUUAGAUACCCCCGUAGUC